UACAGAGGGUGCAAGCGUUGCUCGGAAUCACUGGGCGUAAAGCGCACGUAGGCGGACUCUUAAGUCGGUGGUGAAAUCCUGGAGCUCAACUCCAGAACUGCCUUCGAUACUGAGAGUCUUGAGUCCGGGAGAGGUGAGUGGAACUGCGAGUGUAGAGGUGAAAUUCGUAGAUAUUCGCAAGAACACCAGUGGCGAAGGCGGCUCACUGGCCCGGUACUGACGCUGAGGUGCGAAAGCGUGGGGAGCAAACAGG
This 253-nucleotide ribosomal RNA is filed under the name uncultured bacterium. RNAcentral's name for it is "partial 16S ribosomal RNA". It matches the Rfam family "Bacterial small subunit ribosomal RNA", at positions 524 to 776 of the family's 1533-position model. The record is from RNAcentral.